CCAGACUCCUACGGGAGGCAGCAGUGAGGAAUAUUGGUCAAUGGACGAGAGUCUGAACCAGCCAAGUAGCGUGAAGGAUGACUGCCCUAUGGGUUGUAAACUUCUUUUAUAUGGGAAUAAAAUGUUCCACGCGUGGGAUUUUGUAUGUACCAUAUGAAUAAGGAUCGGCUAACUCCGUGCCAGCAGCCGCGGUAAUACGGAGGAUCCGAGCGUUAUCCGGAUUUAUUGGGUUUAAAGGGAGCGUAGGUGGAUUGUUAAGUCAGUUGUGAAAGUUUGCGGCUCAACCGUAAAAUUGCAGUUGAAACUGGCAGUCUUGAGUACAGUAGAGGUGGGCGGAAUUCGUGGUGUAGCGGUGAAAUGCAUAGAUAUCACGCAGAACUCCGAUUGCGAAGGCAGCAUACCGGCGCGCAACUGACGCCCAUGCACGAAAGCGUGGGUAUCGAACAGGAUUAGAUACCCGCGUAUC
RNAcentral lists this ribosomal RNA (466 nucleotides) under uncultured bacterium. RNAcentral describes it as "bacterial SSU rRNA". It matches the Rfam family "Bacterial small subunit ribosomal RNA", at positions 331 to 795 of the family's 1533-position model. The record is from RNAcentral.